ACCUGAAACACACGUGUAGGAAGUUAUUUUUAUUUUACUAAAUUAAUCUUCAUACUCUUCCCACUUUACUAGAGUUCGUCUGCUUUUGGCUCGAGUAACUUUCAGCUACGGCUGUUUGGCUCGCUUCGCUAAAUUGGAUAAUUGAAGGCAAUAUUUCCUUAGGAUUAAAGCCGCUUUCGCACUCGAUUAACGAGUACGUUAAACCGUCCUUCGCGAAGGACCCCGUGUUACCCUUGAAUUUGAAUAAUUGCCAACUGUAUUAGGACACACCCGACCUUUCAUUUGGCGCUCGUGCACUCAACGGUCGAAUACGAUAUUCAGCGAAUAAAUAUAAAAGCAUUAAGCUGCUUCGUCCUGCGAGUAAGAAGACACUCGAAUUAUUAUUAUUAUCAUCAUCCGCAAUUUUUCCCUCAUGUAAUUCUUGAGCGAUAAAAAAAUUCCUCGCACAUGAUAAAGAUAUCCUGUAAUUUAAAAAGAAAAAAAAUUUGCGUUCGAGGUAUUAAUUUUUUUUUUUUCUUUUCUUAUACAACCUACAUCUUUUGUAAUCGGUUUCUAUCUUUGCUUGUAAUACUACGGUACAGCAGCCGACCGUUCAUGUACCACAAGGUUCAUUGUCUCUACUCUCGUCUAUGGUUUUCCCUUCAGAUGCAGCGUGCGCUUAUGCAUAUGAUAAUCCUUCUGUCAGCCCCUAGGAAAAUAUGGGGUAGAGUUAUAGAUAACCUGCUUCGUACUCAGGCCGAUAUCCAAGUUUCUUGCUGUUUAUCGUACAAUAGUCUAGCAUAAAAUUUAUAUUGGCUUCAUAGGAGAUGAUACAAAUAUUUGAAAAAAAAGUUCUAUAGCUCAAUCAACGAUUGGCUAUUGUUUCGAAUGGUCGCCAGUUCACGAUGGUGGACAAAAUCGAAUACGCUUUGUUUCUGACUCCACAGUAAAUUAUACACGGCUCCGCGAUAAUUCCGUUUCACUCGGAGCAGGGAUAUUUCCAUGGCUAUUAUCGUUCAGCGUUAAGCCUGGUUUACAAGACGGUGUUUCGAAACAUUUACUACUCUAUAUAUGAAUAUACAUUGAUGGAAGAGUUGCGUCAUUCUUCCUUCUACGUUUUACAGGACCAAGUCUAAAGCGCAAUUGGGCUGUAGGACGAAAUCAAAAAAUACAUAUAGACAGUUUGGGAAAUUUUGUAUACGUAAUACAGGUAUUAUACUUAUAUGCUAUAUAUAUAUUAUGUGAUAUUAAAAAAAAAAAUUGCUAUAGAUUUUUUUUUAUGCUAUCUGUCGUUAUCAUCUUUCGUGCUUUGUUAUCUAACUGAUUGAGGGAUUCGAGAUUGAGAAAUAAGGGAUUGAAAUUAUAUUGAAGCUCCAGACGGUCUUUACGUGAUGAAUAUGCAUUGAAUCUCACUGUUACCCCCGUUGAUCGAUCUAAUUCAAUAUUCUUGAUAGGAUCUACCUAAUGGGUAGUAUAUCUGUGUAGAGUAUCCGAUCAAUACUGGAACACUACUUUGUCAUUGUGAAUCAGGCUUAAUAGUCAUAAACAAGAUUUCUGGGUAUGAUUUCAUCAGUUUUCACAAUUGUGUUCCUGCGAUUGUUCCAGCAAGGGAUGAUUCUGGGAUGGUCCCCGAGGGAUGAAUUUUCCAGGAAACGCGAAUACGGUUGAUAGUGCCUUUAACGACGACUCAUUGUGCGUCUGCCUUAAAUCCCUUUUCACUUAAAGCACACUCGAGAUUCGGAGCCCCUUUCUCGUUAUUCGUCUUGAAAACGUGACUUGGGAAGCUGUAUAUAUAAUUCAUUGAUCAUCUUUACGACCACUUCGCAGCUGAAUUUUACCCUGGAAAUACGUAGCUCGAUCGGAUUCCUUUAUGAUCUCUCGUGGUAACAUUCCUUAAGAUCUAGGUGAUUUUUCUGAAGAAAAAAAAAAGAGGAAGAAUGGCCCAAAAAAAAAGUCUUCCGUGAGUUACCAAAAAUAUGGAGAUAAAGAAGACAAAUGGAGUUAAGGAUUCUUCUUAAGGAUCAUUCCUGACCCAGUUCCUAAUCUUAUGAAACUUGAGGUUCACUUCCGUCGAAUUUACAUACGCAAGUAGUGGUUCCAGGCUUGAAUUACAUGGGCAGACUCAGGCAGGUGUGACGUGACACUGAAGUUCAAGUGAACUCGCCUUAUUACAAGAGACGCCUGGCGUCGUGGAAGACGCUAUCGAUUGUUACAAGGGGCAAGACCAGGUCUAACGACGUGGAACGUUCAAAUUUGAAAUAAGGGUCUGGAGGCGAAGAAGAAGAAGAUAAAGGAUAUAAAGGGAAGUCUAGUGUCAGAUUGUCAAGUCUUUUUAUUCCUAUUGUCGAUAAUUUUUUUUUUCUUUCUCCCUUCUGUAGCUCCUCGACCUUCCUUCAUUAAGCUCCGAGUCUGCCCGACGAUUUCACUGAAUCUGCAUCGCACGAUAACGAGCUUAACCAGGACUCAAUCCGACUCUGUCGAGACGAAUCCUUACUAGCGAGUGCGGAUGGGGCUUAACAAGCUCCCGUGAUCCGUUAAAGCACUCACUUAUGAACGUGGACGAGGUUGGUUAGGGACAAGGACCUAAAACAGUUCCUGGGAAAUUUGAUUACCGGCCACCACAUUCCUUUCAUCCGGAUGAUGAUGAAUCCUGGAUCCUUUUUUAUCAAUUGGACAUCAUGCACGUGGGUCCAGUUAUCCCGUUUGCAAGCGGCGCACAGGAUCUGGGCAAUGGACGGUAGUAAGAAGAUUCAGGGUCUGUGGAGAAUUAGCAGCAGUUUUGCUGUAUAGCCCCGUGAAGAAGGACCGGGAUAUAGCAUGGGAGUUAGGGCAGAACUGGCAAGGGCGAUGACUAUAAUCCUACUGGGAAGGGCCAGGACUAAGUUCAAAAGUCGAAAAUCUGGUUGCACGAGUAUGGAGGAAGAUCCACCGUAGGAGAUGGCUUGUUUAUACGCCUGUGAAUACUGUAGGGGAUCUCAGGAUGUUCCGAGUGACACAAGAAGAUACGACCCAGAGAGGAAAUUCAAACAUGAAAUAUGUACACGUUCAGGCAACAUGCGUUCGAUGGUCGGGACGUUCGAUGUGGUUUUUGAGAUUUACGUGAUCUUAUGUGAAUAGAUAUGUAGUUCAGUCCACGGAAGACUUUAUACAGGAACAGAGAUUUUUUGUUUAAUCUUUUUUUUUUUAAAAAAAAAAAACAAACCUUGUAGAUACAAGGAUAAUGCCCGAGACAGAUAUGGCGGUAGAGAUUCAAGAUGAAGGAAUAAGAAGAAAAAGAAGAUUAAGGAUGGCCGAUGGACAAUGCACUUUGUGAAGAGAAAAAAAAAAAGAAAAUUUUGCUCAAAAAGCGUUUAUUUUCUCGGUUAAUUUCCCUCGCAGAGUGGCUGCUCGUAAAGUCGUCAUCUCAUAUUUAUUAAUUCUGAUGAAUAAUUCAAGGAAGGCAGCGUGCACCGAGUUAUUAUACUUGUAGCAUGGAAAAUACCGAGUUUAUGGGAGACUAGACGCGUUUGGAAGUCUGUUAGAAAAUUAUACACCUGUUUUUAAUAGCGACUAGUGUUAGGGCAUAUAUAUAAUAAUAUAAAAUCACUAUCCAACAUUAAUUGUCAUGCGAGUUUCCAGUUUCUACGAUUUUAUAAAAUUACUAAUAACCACGAGCUGAAACUUAUAAUUGACUUUGUAUGUCAGGUACAUUAUUGCCUGUAACGACGGCGCGUUUCAAUGGAUACGAAAUAUUGCUGACGUUGAGAACUUCAAGCCUGGCAACGUAGUAACGAAAACUACUAAGUCAGACGGCACAGGCUAACCUGAAUCUAACUAGUUACUGCCAUGAGUUCACUAGGGUAUCCAAUCCUCAAAAGCAUCUGAAGCAGCAGGAUGACAGAGAGUGAGUGUAGCAGUGGAGGAGAUAGACGAGAAAAAUCAAAGUGCUUUGAGAUUUACUGCUAUUGUUGCUGACGUUCACGUGAACCAUUAUGGGAUCUCCAUGAGCGUAAAUCGCACGAUCCAGUCGCGCCUCCAGUCCCACUCGGCCGUCGCUCAAUAGAAACGGUUUUUCGACAGCUGCAUGGGGUGCUGAUGGCUCUGCAAGAGAACGAAGAUAAUGAAUCCGUCGCGUCAAUAGAGAUACCGCUGGCAAUUGGAUUGCAGGGAAUUGUUAGAAU
Cephus cinctus (wheat stem sawfly) is the source of this 4139-nucleotide long non-coding RNA. RefSeq lists it as uncharacterized. The transcript has 3 exons. The record is from RefSeq and is a predicted model, not a curated record. NCBI's taxonomy places the organism in Eukaryota, Metazoa, Arthropoda, Insecta, Hymenoptera, Cephidae.